GGUUAAGCGACUAAGCGUACACGGUGGAUGCCCUGGCAGUCAGAGGCGAUGAAGGACGUGCUAAUCUGCGAAAAGCGUCGGUAAGGUGAUAUGAACCGUUAUAACCGGCGAUGUCCGAAUGGGGAAACCCAGUGCAAUUCGUUGCACUAUCGUUAACUGAAUACAUAGGUUAACGAGGCGAACCGGGGGAACUGAAACAUCUAAGUACCCCGAGGAAAAGAAAUCAACCGAGAUUCCCCCAGUAGCGGCGAGCGAACGGGGAGCAGCCCAGAGUCUGAAUCAGCUUGUGUGUUAGUGGAACGGUCUGGAAAGUCCGACGGUACAGGGUGAUAGUCCCGUACACCAAAAUGCACAGGUUGUGAACUCGAAGAGUAGGGCGGGACACGUGGUAUCCUGUCUGAAUAUGGGGGGACCAUCCUCCAAGGCUAAAUACUCCUGACUGACCGAUAGUGAACCAGUACCGUGAGGGAAAGGCGAAAAGAACCCCGGCGAGGGGAGUGAAAAAGAACCUGAAACCGUGUACGUACAAGCAGUGGGAGCACCUUUAUGGUGUGACUGCGUACCUUUUGUAUAAUGGGUCAGCGACUUAUAUUCUGUAGCAAGGUUAACCGUAUAGGGGAGCCGCAGGGAAACCGAGUCUUAACUGGGCGUUAAGUUGCAGGGUAUAGACCCGAAACCCGGUGAUCUAGCCAUGGGCAGGUUGAAGGUUGGGUAACACUAACUGGAGGACCGAACCGACUAAUGUUGAAAAAUUAGCGGAUGACUUGUGGCUGGGGGUGAAAGGCCAAUCAAACCGGGAGAUAGCUGGUUCUCCCCGAAAGCUAUUUAGGUAGCGCCUCGUGAACUCAUCUUCGGGGGUAGAGCACUGUUUCGGCUAGGGGGUCAUCCCGACUUACCAACCCGAUGCAAACUACGAAUACCGAAGAAUGUUAUCACGGGAGACACACGGCGGGUGCUAACGUCCGUCGUGAAGAGGGAAACAACCCAGACCGCCAGCUAAGGUCCCAAAGUCAUGGUUAAGUGGGAAACGAUGUGGGAAGGCACAGACAGCCAGGAUGUUGGCUUAGAAGCAGCCAUCAUUUAAAGAAAGCGUAAUAGCUCACUGGUCGAGUCGGCCUGCGCGGAAGAUGUAACGGGGCUAAACCAUGCACCGAAGCUGCGGCAGCGACACUAUGUGUUGUUGGGUAGGGGAGCGUUCUGUAAGCCUGCGAAGGUGACCUGUGAGGGUUGCUGGAGGUAUCAGAAGUGCGAAUGCUGACAUAAGUAACGAUAAAGCGGGUGAAAAGCCCGCUCGCCGGAAGACCAAGGGUUCCUGUCCAACGUUAAUCGGGGCAGGGUGAGUCGACCCCUAAGGCGAGGCCGAAAGGCGUAGUCGAUGGGAAACAGGUUAAUAUUCCUGUACUUGGUGUUACUGCGAAGGGGGGACGGAGAAGGCUAUGUUAGCCGGGCGACGGUUGUCCCGGUUUAAGCAUGUAGGCUGGUUAUCCAGGCAAAUCCGGAUAAUCAAGGCUGAGGUGUGAUGACGAGGCACUACGGUGCUGAAGUAACAAAUGCCCUGCUUCCAGGAAAAGCCUCUAAGCAUCAGGUAACAUCAAAUCGUACCCCAAACCGACACAGGUGGUCAGGUAGAGAAUACCAAGGCGCUUGAGAGAACUCGGGUGAAGGAACUAGGCAAAAUGGUGCCGUAACUUCGGGAGAAGGCACGCUGGUGUGUAGGUGAAGCCCCUGCGGGUGGAGCUGAGACCAGUCGAAGAUACCAGCUGGCUGCAACUGUUUAUUAAAAACACAGCACUGUGCAAACACGAAAGUGGACGUAUACGGUGUGACGCCUGCCCGGUGCCGGAAGGUUAAUUGAUGGGGUUAUCCGUAAGGAGAAGCUCUUGAUCGAAGCCCCGGUAAACGGCGGCCGUAACUAUAACGGUCCUAAGGUAGCGAAAUUCCUUGUCGGGUAAGUUCCGACCUGCACGAAUGGCGUAAUGAUGGCCAGGCUGUCUCCACCCGAGACUCAGUGAAAUUGAACUCGCUGUGAAGAUGCAGUGUACCCGCGGCAAGACGGAAAGACCCCGUGAACCUUUACUAUAGCUUGACACUGAACAUUGAGCCUUGAUGUGUAGGAUAGGUGGGAGGCUUUGAAGCGUGGACGCCAGUCUGCGUGGAGCCAACCUUGAAAUACCACCCUUUAAUGUUUGAUGUUCUAACGUGGGCCCCUAAUCGGGGUUGCGGACAGUGUCUGGUGGGUAGUUUGACUGGGGCGGUCUCCUCCCAAAGCGUAACGGAGGAGCACGAAGGUUAGCUAAUCCUGGUCGGACAUCAGGAGGUUAGUGCAAUGGCAUAAGCUAGCUUGACUGCGAGCGUGACGGCGCGAGCAGGUGCGAAAGCAGGUCAUAGUGAUCCGGUGGUUCUGAAUGGAAGGGCCAUCGCUCAACGGAUAAAAGGUACUCCGGGGAUAACAGGCUGAUACCGCCCAAGAGUUCAUAUCGACGGCGGUGUUUGGCACCUCGAUGUCGGCUCAUCACAUCCUGGGGCUGAAGUAGGUCCCAAGGGUAUGGCUGUUCGCCAUUUAAAGUGGUACGCGAGCUGGGUUUAGAACGUCGUGAGACAGUUCGGUCCCUAUCUGCCGUGGGCGCUGGAGAAUUGAGGGGGGCUGCUCCUAGUACGAGAGGACCGGAGUGGACGCAUCACUGGUGUUCGGGUUGUCAUGCCAAUGGCACUGCCCGGUAGCUAAAUGCGGAAGAGAUAAGUGCUGAAAGCAUCUAAGCACGAAACUUGCCCCGAGAUGAGUUCUCCCUGAGACUAUAAGUCUCCUGAAGGAACGUUGAAGACGACGACGUUGAUAGGCCGGGUGUGUAAGCGCAGCGAUGCGUUGAGCUAACCGGUACUAAUGAACCGUGAGGCUUAACCUU
RNAcentral lists this ribosomal RNA (2903 nucleotides) under Klebsiella quasipneumoniae. RNAcentral's name for it is "23S ribosomal RNA". It matches the Rfam family "Bacterial large subunit ribosomal RNA". Lineage: Bacteria; Pseudomonadati; Pseudomonadota; Gammaproteobacteria; Enterobacterales; Enterobacteriaceae. The record is from RNAcentral.